RNAcentral lists this unclassified non-coding RNA (232 nucleotides) under plant metagenome. RNAcentral describes it as "partial contains small subunit ribosomal RNA, internal transcribed spacer 1, and 5.8S ribosomal RNA". The record is from RNAcentral.
UUUCCGUAGGUGAACCUGCGGAAGGAUCAUUAAUUAUAUAAGGCCACGGGGCAAGCUUUCCGAAAGGAUCGAGCUUGCUGUGUGAACCCUACCUACCCUUGCUUUUUGCGUACCCACUGUUUCCUCGGCAGGCUUGCCUGCCAGUAGGACCCUCUUAAACCCUUUGUAAUUGCAGUCAGCGUCAGAAACAACGUAAUCGUUACAACUUUCAACAACGGAUCUCUUGGUUCUG